This 301-nucleotide ribosomal RNA is filed under the name uncultured bacterium. RNAcentral describes it as "partial 16S ribosomal RNA". It matches the Rfam family "Bacterial small subunit ribosomal RNA", at positions 509 to 807 of the family's 1533-position model. The record is from RNAcentral.
CAGUAGCCGCGGGAAUACAGAGGGUGCGAGCGUUAAUCGGAUUUACUGGGCGUAAAGCGUGCGUAGGCGGCUUCUUAAGUCGGAUGUGAAAUCCCUGAGCUUAACUUAGGAAUUGCAUUCGAUACUGGGAAGCUAGAGUAUGGGAGAGGAUGGUAGAAUUCCAGGUGUAGCGGUGAAAUGCGUAGAGAUCUGGAGGAAUACCGAUGGCGAAGGCAGCCAUCUGGCCUAAUACUGACGCUGAGGUACGAAAGCAUGGGGAGCAAACAGGAUUAGAUACCCGGGUAGUCCCUGUCUCUUAUAC